Molecule: non-coding RNA, 170 nt
Organism: Gallibacterium anatis
Lineage: Bacteria; Pseudomonadati; Pseudomonadota; Gammaproteobacteria; Pasteurellales; Pasteurellaceae
Source: Rfam
UUCAUCGCGAGGUGAAAUCUGAAGGAAGCCGUAGGCAAACCACUGGUCCGACGAACAGAAAUCGCAUCAGGCAUACGAGGGUGGGUAAGUCUGCUGAACAAGAUAACGCCCUAAGCUACACGGAACCCGAGGUGUAAAUGCGGCGGAUAGAUGGUGGGAAAGAGCGUGUU